CCGCGAUUCGCCCUUCGGGGUGCAGCAGGCGCGAAAACUUUGCAAUGCGGGAAACCGUGACAAGGGAACUCUGAGUGCCCGUAAAAUCGGGCUGUCCAUCGGUUUAAAUAACCGGUGAAGAAAGGGCCGGGCAAGACCGGUGCCAGCCGCCGCGGUAAUACCGGCGGCUCGAGUGGUGGCCACUAUUACUGGGCUUAAAGCGUUCGUAGCUGGUCUGUUAAGUCUCUGGGGAAAUCUUCCGGCUUAACCGGAAGGCGUCUCAGGGAUACUGGCAGACUAGGGACCGGGAGAGGUGAGAGGUACUCCAGGGGUAGGAGUGAAAUCCUGUAAUCCUUGGGGGACCACCUGUGGCGAAGGCGUCUCACCAGAACGGCUCCUACAGUGAGGGACGAAAGCUGGGGGAGCAAACCGGAUUAGAUACCCGGGUAGUCCCAGCUGUAAACGAUGCGCGUUAGGUGUAUCGGUGACCACGAGUCACCGAGGUGCCGAAGAGAAAUCGUGAAACGUGCCGCCUGGGAAGUACGGUCGCAAGGCUGAAACUUAAAGGAAUUGGCGGGGGAGCAC
Molecule: ribosomal RNA, 564 nt
Filed under: uncultured archaeon
Lineage: Archaea
Description: bacterial SSU rRNA
Rfam family: Archaeal small subunit ribosomal RNA
Source: RNAcentral